This 264-nucleotide ribosomal RNA is filed under the name uncultured Streptococcaceae bacterium. RNAcentral's name for it is "partial 16S ribosomal RNA". It matches the Rfam family "Bacterial small subunit ribosomal RNA", at positions 505 to 771 of the family's 1533-position model. Lineage: Bacteria; Bacillati; Bacillota; Bacilli; Lactobacillales; Streptococcaceae. The record is from RNAcentral.
GUGCCAGCAGCCGCGGUAAUACGUAGGUCCCGAGCGUUGUCCGGAUUUAUUGGGCGUAAAGCGAGCGCAGGCGGUUAGAUAAGUCUGAAGUUAAAGGCUGUGGCUUAACCAUAGUACGCUUUGGAAACUGUUUAACUUGAGUGCAAGAGGGGAGAGUGGAAUUCCAUGUGUAGCGGUGAAAUGCGUAGAUAUAUGGAGGAACACCGGUGGCGAAAGCGGCUCUCUGGCUUGUAACUGACGCUGAGGCUGAAGCGUGGGGAGCAA